CCGCAGCCCGAGUGGUGCUCGCUAUUAUUGAGUCUAAAACGUCCGUAGCUGGUCUAAUAAAUCCUUGGGUAAAUCGGGCAGCUCAACUGUCCGAAUUCCGAGGAGACUGUUAGACUUGGGACCGGAAGAGGUCAGAGGUACUCCAGGGGUAGGGGUGAAAUCCUGUAAUCCUUGGGGGACCACCAGUGGCGAAGGCGUCUGACUUGGACGGAUCCGACAGUAAGGGACGAAGCCCUGGGGCGCAAACCGGAUUAGAUACCCGAGUAGUCC
This 270-nucleotide ribosomal RNA is filed under the name uncultured archaeon. RNAcentral describes it as "partial 16S ribosomal RNA". It matches the Rfam family "Archaeal small subunit ribosomal RNA", at positions 477 to 747 of the family's 1478-position model. The record is from RNAcentral.